Molecule: long non-coding RNA, 307 nt
Organism: Lolium perenne
Lineage: Eukaryota; Viridiplantae; Streptophyta; Magnoliopsida; Poales; Poaceae
Source: RefSeq, a predicted model, not a curated record
CUGCUUCAGGACAUUGCUGGCUGGAUGCAGAGCAUGGCGGCCAUGACGGCGAUGGCAAAGCGCCCUAGCAGCAGCAGGAGCGGCAGGUACUGGAGCCGGCGCUAGAGAUGGAGGAUCUCCUCCAUGUCUUCGAUCUCCCCGUCAAGCUCACACGACAUGAUAAGGAGAAGGGCUUGGUGAUGCUCAGUAUCAUGUCUUUAAUUGGAUUAGGGUUAAUGAUUGUACUUCUAUUUAGGUCUCUUGUAUUCUAGAGAAGAAACUAUGGGUGCUUUGCUAAUCAACACAGUCUGGAACUUUCAAAUUGAAG